CUCUUAGAUGUUCUGGGCAGCACGCGCGCUACAAUGGUCUUCGCAAACGGAUGCAUUCUCGAAGGAGAAUGCCAAUCUUGGAAUCUAUGCCUUGGUCGGGACAGUUGCUUGCAAUUUUUCGACUCGAACCAGGAAUUCCUUGUAAUCGUGAUUCAUCACAUCACGAUGAAUACGUCCCUGCCCUUUGUACACACCGCCCGUCGCUCCUACCGAUCGAAGAGUUAGGUGAAUUGUUUUGAUCGAUAAGAUUUGACUAUGGUCAACUCUCGUUGUGAAAUUCUGUGAAUCUGACUGUUUAGAGGAGGGAAAAGUCGUAACA
Molecule: ribosomal RNA, 319 nt
Filed under: uncultured eukaryote
Lineage: Eukaryota
Description: partial 18S ribosomal RNA
Rfam family: Eukaryotic small subunit ribosomal RNA
Source: RNAcentral